UAAAUCUGUUCCUCUCAGUGAUUGAGAUUCUUCUCCAUGUUAAAUAUUUCUUUUUUACUAUUCCUCUGUCCUCUUCAUCUAAACCUGUCUGCCCUCUCUUUCCCCAGAAAUUGCAAGAAUUGGAAGGCGCAGCGGUCCAGCUUCAGUAUCCAUUGAGAUCAAACCUAAAGAAAUGGACCCAUCUCUAUUCAAAAUGAAUUUCCUUUAUACAAAAACCACAAAGGAAACUGAAGCUACAUUUCUAAAUACUGAAAAGCAAAGAAUAAAAGUGCUUUUCAAAAAAGAAUGAUGUUUAAGUGCAUUCAUACUCAAAGAUUCUCAGAAAUUGACUCAUCUUAUAUGCUAUGGGAAGGAAUUUAAGGGUAUGGCCCCAAAACCUGUGCUCUGAUCAUCAGUCAAAAGCUCUGAAUAUUAUGCUGUGUCCUUCUUGAUCAGUGAGAAAAGAGAGGCUAAAAAGGAUUGUGGAAGUGGCUGGGGACCUACCUGCAAGUCACAGCAAUGGCAUUUAAAAAUUAAAGGUAAGGCAAAGACAAACACUGCUGCCCUAGACUGUAGCACAGUGCAAAGCAAAGAGCAAGAGAGAGAGUUUCAUGGAAGAGGGGAUGUCCAACUCAAGCUUCUCCUCUGUGACAUUUCUCAGAGUAAGUUGUAUUUCAGAUUAGUAGCCCUUGGCAGUAGUCUGGAGAAAGAUGAGAUUUUAGUGUGAUAUGCUACACAGGCAUGGGGGGAAAGCAAAGAGUAUGUGCGAAAAAUUGAAAUGACAAGGUCAUGUUGAUAGCUUGGUUGUGGGAGCUGCCGCGGUAGUUUGUUGCAUUAUGAUUAGAGAUGGGCCAGCUAGCAAGAAUGAGAUGAGAGCUGGUUCAAACCUUCAUCCACUCCUCUAACCAGACUGAAGUGGGGCCCAUGGUGAGGCUGAAACACAUCUAGCACUGGUACAUUUGGUUUCUCAACAUGAUUUAAUGAGCUUCUGCUUCUGAUAAUUUAGCUCAGAA
RNAcentral lists this long non-coding RNA (992 nucleotides) under Zonotrichia albicollis (white-throated sparrow). RNAcentral describes it as "lncRNA (ENSZALG00000006605.1)". Lineage: Eukaryota; Metazoa; Chordata; Aves; Passeriformes; Passerellidae. The record is from RNAcentral.